ACUCCUACGGGAGGCAGCAGUGGGGAAUAUUGCACAAUGGGGAAACCCUGAUGCAGCCAUGCCGCGUGUGUGAAGAAGGCCUUCGGUUGUAAAGCACUUUCAGUAGGGAGGAAGGUAGUGUAGUUAACACCUGCAUAUUUGACGUUACCUACAGAAGAAGCACCGGCUAACUCCGUGCCAGCAGCCGCGGUAAUACGGAGGGUGCGAGCGUUAAUCGGAAUUACUGGGCGUAAAGCGCAUGCAGGCGGCCUGUUAAGUCAGAUGUGAAAGCCCGGGGGCUUAACCUCGGAAUUGCAUUUGAAACUGGCAGGCUAGAGUCUUGUAGAGGGGGUAGAAUUUCAGGUGUAGCGGUGAAAUGCGUAGAGAUCUGAAGGAAUACCAGUGGCGAAGGCGGCCCCCUGGACAAAGACUGACGCUCAGAUGCGAAAGCGUGGGGA
This 437-nucleotide ribosomal RNA is filed under the name uncultured bacterium. RNAcentral's name for it is "bacterial SSU rRNA". It matches the Rfam family "Bacterial small subunit ribosomal RNA", at positions 335 to 767 of the family's 1533-position model. The record is from RNAcentral.